This 251-nucleotide ribosomal RNA is filed under the name uncultured prokaryote. RNAcentral describes it as "partial 16S rRNA". It matches the Rfam family "Bacterial small subunit ribosomal RNA", at positions 525 to 775 of the family's 1533-position model. The record is from RNAcentral.
ACGGGGGGUGCAAGCGUUGCUCGGAAUCAUUGGGCGUAAAGCGCGUGUAGGCGGCUUAACAAGUCAGAUGUGAAAUCCCUGGGCUUAACACUGGAAGUGCAUUUGAAACUGUUUAGCUUGAGUAAGGGAGAGGAAAGUGGAAUUCCUGGUGUAGGGGUGAAAUCCGUAGAGAUCAGAAGGAACACCGGUGGCGAAGGCGACUUACUGGAACAAUACUGACGCUGAGACGCGAAAGCGUGGGGAGCAAACAG